RNAcentral lists this ribosomal RNA (556 nucleotides) under Chiropsella bronzie. RNAcentral's name for it is "partial 16S ribosomal RNA". It matches the Rfam family "Bacterial large subunit ribosomal RNA", at positions 1798 to 2534 of the family's 2925-position model. Lineage: Eukaryota; Metazoa; Cnidaria; Cubozoa; Chirodropida; Chiropsalmidae. The record is from RNAcentral.
GACCUGUUUACCAAAAACAUAGCUAACUGCUAAAAUUAAUUGAAGUAUAGUUAGUGAGGCCUGCCCACUGAUUUGAGUUUACAGCUUGAGUUAAAGGGCCGCGGUAACUCUGACCGUGCUAAGGUAGCAUAAUCAAUUGCCAUCUAAUUAGUGGCUAGAAUGAAUGGUUCUACAAGUCCCCCACUGUCUCAAUUUUACUCUUAUUGAAAUUUAAUAAGCUGUGAAGAUUCAGCUUCUCCUUGGGAGGACGAGAAGACCCCGUUGAGCUUAACUUCUCCUUUCAACCCACAGCUAAUCAUAAGAUUGAAGGGCACUGUUGGAAAGAAGUUUGGUUGGGGCGACCACCUAAAUAAUAGUAACUUAGGUAAGCUAAGGUUAAAGGAUAAUAUAGUAAGCUUAAUUAAUAGACUGAUAAGUCAGUUAAAUAACCCAGGUUAGGCUAUAGUGACCCUGCUCAUUAAAGGGGGCAGAAUCUAGAUAAAAGUUACCACGGGGAUAACAGGGUUAUCUAGCUACAAAGUUCAUAUUGAAAGCUAGGUUUGCCACCUCGAUGUUG